This 495-nucleotide ribosomal RNA is filed under the name uncultured bacterium. Its description in RNAcentral is "partial 16S ribosomal RNA". It matches the Rfam family "Bacterial small subunit ribosomal RNA", at positions 28 to 507 of the family's 1533-position model. The record is from RNAcentral.
GACGAACGCUGGCGGCGUGCCUAAUACAUGCAAGUAGAACGCUGAAGGAGGAGCUUGCUUCUCUGGAUGAGUUGCGAACGGGUGAGUAACGCGUAGGUAACCUGCCUGGUAGCGGGGGAUAACUAUUGGAAACGAUAGCUAAUACCGCAUAAGAGUAGAUGUUGCAUGACAUUUGCUUAAAAGGUGCAAUUGCAUCACUACCAGAUGGACCUGCGUUGUAUUAGCUAGUUGGUGGGGUAACGGCUCACCAAGGCGACGAUACAUAGCCGACCUGAGAGGGUGAUCGGCCACACUGGGACUGAGACACGGCCCAGACUCCUACGGGAGGCAGCAGUAGGGAAUCUUCGGAAAUGGACGGAAGUCUGACCGAGCAACGCCGCGUGAGUGAAGAAGGUUUUCGGAUCGUAAAGCUCUGUUGUAAGAGAAGAACGAGUGUGAGAGUGGAAAGUUCACACUGUGACGGUAUCUUAACAGAAAGGGACGGCUAACUACGUG